RNA transcript from Pipra filicauda (Wire-tailed manakin), 2610 nucleotides. It is a transcript of the gene named sterile alpha motif domain containing 13, with no coding region annotated. Lineage: Eukaryota; Metazoa; Chordata; Aves; Passeriformes; Pipridae. The record is from RefSeq and is a predicted model, not a curated record. The transcript has 6 exons.
GGAAGAGAAGGGCCCCACUCCCGGCAACCCCCGCGCCGCGGUGAGGGCGGCCCCUGCCCCGGCCCGUCCUGCUGAGGGCACCGAGCGGGCGGGCCAUGGUGGCAAAGGAAUACCUAUUUUAUACAGGCAUACGGCCCAUUCUGCUCUGCAUAAGGCUAGCUUUUGGAGGGCGGCUUCCCUCAGUGGGAAACCACGCAAGUCCUGCGUUGUUUCCUCAUUCAGCUUUCCCUGUGUUUAACCAUGUUUCUACCCAGGACACUGGAAUAAGGAAGGUUUAAAGGGCUUUAUUUAGCUCUGGUGGAGCUGAAACUCAGUAUCCACUGCACAACUAACAGGGCGCUACACUCUGCCACAUGCAUGGUGCAUUUUGUCUUCAUCUACUGUUUUCAUUGGCAGGGACAAAAAAAUGAUAGCCUUUUCUGGCCUUUCCCAAUACCCAGAAAACAGGGUCGACUGGUGUCCGAUACCUGCGCUGAGCUCUGUGUGUUUCCCCCUGUGUGACAGCAGAAGGUCCUCUAGAAGGAACGCAUGUACUGUGUGAGCCUCACUUUAAAUACUCAAAGAAUUAAUUGAAGAACAUGAUGGAAGGAAGGGGAGAGUUUGCUGAAGUAAAAGAAGCCUCUAUCCUCCCCAUGCUAAUUGUUGACAUGGAAAACAAGGAAAAUGGCUCUCUGGAUGUCAAAAAUUCAGUAGAGAACGGGAGACCUCCAGAUCCUGCUGACUGGGCUGUUACUGAUGUUGUGAAUUAUUUCAGAACAGCUGGAUUUGAAGAACAAGCCAGUGCUUUUCAAGAACAGGAAAUUGAUGGCAAAUCAUUACUGUUGAUGACAAGAAAUGAUGUACUGACUGGACUUUCAUUAAAACUGGGGCCUGCGCUGAAAAUCUAUGAAUAUCACGUAAAACCUCUACAGACACAACAUCUAAAGAACAACUCUUUGUAGUGAAUUGUCUCAUUGGGGUCAUGUUGUACCUCAAAGGAAAAAUAAGCAAUUUGGUUUCAUGUGAUGGAACUUUGUAAAGAGGGAAUAUAUCUAUUAAGAGUUUAAACCAAAUUACCAUAUAUAUCCUAUUGGAUAGAGUUGGCAAUAUACUAUAUACUGAGUCUGAACUGAGAGAGGUGGUGUGUAUUUUUUACAUAGUACAUAAUGAUUUUCUCUUUUAGGAAGUGUCAGUCAGCAUGUUGAGGUAGCUACAUCACUGUAUCCAGAACAAAAGGGAGAAAUAUUUACUGAGAAGUAGGGGAAGUUGCCAAUUUUUUUUCUCACCAUUUCGGCACUGCUCAGCUUCACAAAAGCGGAUCCCAUCAGGAACACAUAUGAAUGAGUGGAUGUGAGGAACACCAUUCUGCAAUUUAGAGCAGACAUGUAAGUAAAAGUGCCAUAAAUAUUAUCUUAACUGGAAAACAGGAGCUAAGAGAGCGAGGAAUGGCUACAGCAAAAACAAACAGAAUGUAUUGGUAUUUUAGAUACCUCGUGCAGACGUUGCCAUGGUACUUCUUGAACGUAGCUUUUGACGUACACCACUUGGCAAAAUGUUGUCAUGAAGUGAUUGCAGAUAUCUAUAGCAAAUUGUUCUAAACUCGGGAUCUAAGAGAGCAAACAGCAUUAUUAGAAAGAAGCAAUUACCUCAUGUACAAAACUAGAUUUUUCUGGUUGCUGUAAAUAUUUGAGAGGAAUCAGUGUAGUUAAAAACACAGAUUUCUCUUAUUCCUGGCUUGGUGCACUGUGCCCAGUCAUUUGACCAGCUUUCAGCACAGGCUGCAAAUAGCAGCUCCAGUUGCAUCAAAACCCUCCUGUUCUGUGGUACAGUGAGCUGCAAUCCUUGGACUGAAAUUAACUGCUAGCCUUACGCUUUGAGGAUAUAAUGCUGAAAUAAUUAUUUCAGCAUAGUGAACUAAUUAUUCUGAUUAAGUUUUACGUGGUAGAGAUGGGGUUUCAUUACAGAGACAGACAAUUAGUGCUACAGAUUGUCAUUAUGAUAGAUGCAAUUGGUGAAGUAAGAGCACAUUAGAAGAAUUAAGAGGAGUCUCACAUGCUUUGAGACCUGUUUAAAAAUGCUAUAUAGGAAUAAUGAAGUAUUAUAUGCUAAAAAUUUUAAAAAAAAAGAUGGAUCUUAUAUGAUAAAAUUACAAAAAUAAUGUUAAUUGUGAGGAAAAAAGGAGUCUGCAGCGGAGGAGGAGAACUUGUCUCUCAUAUCGCUGAAGACGACUUCAGUGCUGAUCUGACAUGCCAAUUAAAAUUAAAAGUAUAAUGAACACUUCCAAAUGAAGUCAUAAGAAACAGCAAGGCUAGUUAAAAAAUAAAAAAAUACCCCAUUUUUUUUGGCCAACACAAGGACAAUAUUCUUUAUGGUGUCUGUAGGUAUCACAAGAGAGUUGUUUCCUUCCAGGUACUCCUGAGGAGAAGUCAGACGGAGAUGUGUGCACACUUCCACUUCUUUAACAAAAUGCUUCUUCCCCUCUCUAUGCAGGCGAAGGAACUUAAUUGUGUUUUUGCCAUAUUCACAGUUGAGGACUUCUACAUCCUUGAUCUGCAGAGAAAAUACACGGCAGUUGUAAAGGAACUCAGUAGAAGCCUGAGUUAUGCUCAGUCAAUGAAACAUAAACAAUGU